UUUAAUGAGAGUUUGAUUCUGGCUCAGGAUUAAUGCUGGUGGUAUGCAUAACACAUGCAAGUCGAACGAAGGUAGCUUGCUACCUUAGUGGCAAACGGGCGAGUAACACAUAUUUAACUUAUCCAUACGAGGAGGAUAGCAUCUCGAAAGAGUUAUUAAUACUCCAUAGGUUUAUAGAAUAAAUUAAAGGGGGCGGGCCGGAGAGUUUCUCCGGUGCCUCGCGAAUGGAGAGGAAUAUGUCCUAUUAGGUUGUUGGCGGGGUAAAUGCCCACCAAGCCGAUGAUGGGUAGCUGGACUGAGAGGUCGACCAGCCGCAAUGGGAUUGAAAUACGGCCCAUAUUCCUACGGGAAGCAGCAGUGAGGAAUUUUUCACAAUGGACGAAAGUCUGAUGGAGCAAUACCAUGUGAACGAUGACGGUCUUCUGAUUGUAAAGUUCUUUUAUUUAGGAUAAAAAGUUUGACAGGAAAUGGUUAAACCGUGAUCGUACUAAAUGAAUAAGUGACAGCUAACUAUGUGCCAGCAGCUGCGGUAAAACAUAGGUCACAAGCAUUAUCCGGAUUUAUUGGGCGUAAAGGAAGCGUAGGCGGACAAGUUGAUCUAUUGUUAAAGGCACUUGCCUAACAGGUUGUUUGUGAUAGAUAUCGCUUGUCUAGAAUUAGUUAGGAGAUACUGGAAUUCAAUGUGUAGCGGUGGAAUGCGUAGAUAUAUUGAGGAACACCAGAGGCUAAGGCGAGUAUCUAGGACAUAAUUGACGCUGAGGCUUGAAAGCGUGGGGAGCAAAUGGGAUUAGAUACCCCAGUAGUCCACGCCGUAAACGAUGGGUAUUAGGUAUUUGAUUCGAAAUUGAGUGCUGUAGCUAACGCGUUAAAUACCCCGCCUGGGUAGUAUAUAUGCAAAUAUGAAACUCAAAGAAAUUGACGGGGACCUGAACAAGUGGUGGAGCAUGUUGCUUAAUUCGAUAAUACACGAAAAACCUUACCGAGGCUUGUAAUCUUUUGCAAAGCUAUAGAAAUAUAGUGGAGGCUAUCAGAAUGACAGGUGGUGCAUGGCUGUCGUCAGCUCGUGUCUUGAGAUGUUUGGUUAAGUCCCGUAACGAGCGCAACCCUACUCUUUAGUUAGAUAGUUCUAAAGUGACUGAAUCGUAAGAUAUAGGAAGGCUGGGGCCAAGUCAAGUCAUCAUGCCCCUUAUGCCUCGGGCUGCAAACGUGCUACAAUGGUAGGUACAAUGUGUCGCAAUCUAGUAAUAGUGAGCUAAUCACCUAAAGCCUAUCUCAGUCCGGAUAAAAGGCUGCAAUUCGCCUAUUUGAAGUUGGAAUCACUAGUAAUCCUGUGUCAGCUAUAUCAGGGUGAAUGCGUUCCCAGGUCUUGUACACACCGCCCGUCAAACUAUGAAAGAAAGUACUAGUUGAAACCGUAUUAAGUUACGUCCAGAUUGGUAAUUUUGAUUGGAGUUAAGUCGUAACAAGGUACCCGUACGAGAACGUGCGGGUGGAAAACUUAUUAA
Chlorocebus sabaeus (green monkey) is the source of this 1505-nucleotide ribosomal RNA. It matches the Rfam family "Bacterial small subunit ribosomal RNA". NCBI's taxonomy places the organism in Eukaryota, Metazoa, Chordata, Mammalia, Primates, Cercopithecidae. The record is from Rfam.